UACGUAGGGGGCUAGCGUUGUCCGGAAUCAUUGGGCGUAAAGCGCGCGUAGGCGGCCCGAUAAGUCUGCUGUGAAAGUCCAGGGCUCAACCCUGGAAAGCCGGUGGAUACUGUCGGGCUAGAGUCCGGAAGAGGCGAGUGGAAUUCCUGGUGUAGCGGUGGAAUGCGCAGAUAUCAGGAGGAACACCAAUAGCGAAGGCAGCUCGCUGGGACGUUACUGACAUUGAGGCGCGAAAGCGUGGGGAGCGAACAGG
RNAcentral lists this ribosomal RNA (253 nucleotides) under uncultured bacterium. Its description in RNAcentral is "partial 16S ribosomal RNA". It matches the Rfam family "Bacterial small subunit ribosomal RNA", at positions 524 to 776 of the family's 1533-position model. The record is from RNAcentral.